Molecule: long non-coding RNA, 1001 nt
Filed under: Heterocephalus glaber (naked mole-rat)
Lineage: Eukaryota; Metazoa; Chordata; Mammalia; Rodentia; Bathyergidae
Description: lncRNA (ENSHGLG00100051491.1)
Source: RNAcentral
GCUCUACCGUAUGAAUCAUAGAGCUGUCUAAGAUUUGGGUUUUGAAAGGCUCGCCGAAGAAGGGGCACACACGGACGUUCCAGCAAGCUUUAUUGGGGCGGCAGUCUGCAGCCUGCGGGGCUGACUCACAGAAUGGAGACCAGCAGCUUCAUGGGCUCAGCUGGAAGCUUAUGCAGGUGUCUUGCAGGAGACAUCUGGAAUUAAUGGACCCAUCAUUAUCCUGAGAGUUCUUUGUCUUCUUCAUAUUCAUGUUGACGUCGAACCACAAGCCAAGUAAAGAAUGAUAGUUUGAAGACAUCUGGAGUCACAUGCCUCUUGGGCUGCAGAAAUAAUGGAACCACUUAUGAGAUCUAUUGCAUCCUGGAUGGAGGAGACAUGUACAAGGUUCAGGUCAGCUGUGAGGCCUCAGUGGCCUUUGAGGACUGGCAUUUGAAGAUUUUCAAAUAAAAAAAGAACAUACAAAACAUCAUGAGGUGCCCUUAGACUGUAGCAGCUGUUUCUCUCUUUACAGUAAAGACAAGAGAGCAGACAAAGCAGUCUUUGCAGAAAGGACCAAAACAUUUUAUCAGAUCUUGAAUGUCCCUCAAAGGCUGAUAAGUUAAAGGCUUGGACACCUGCCUGUGCGCGAGAGAGGUGGUGGAAACUUCAGAACUGGCACUCAGUGGGAGAGAGGGAAAGAAGGCCCUGCCCCAUCGCUAAUGGAUGGUCCUAAGAGCCACACACACGACACCAUGAAGUCCUCACUGGCCACUGGAUGAAGGAAGACUGGCAGGAGGCAAAAGCCAGAAAAUAUCUUCGCAUGACCUGAAGAAGUGUUAUUCAGAUGGCAGUGCUGAGAAGGUGAGGUAGCUGCUUGGGACCUCCGCAGCGGGACGAUUCCACUCUGACACCGGAGAGGAGGCGCUGCUGUGCGCGGUGUUACAGCCAACAGAAACUGAGACGGGAAUUUCUGAUUUCUGGUCCAGCGUACUGAAACUGGCUGAGGUGUGGGCACGUAUGGA